RNAcentral lists this long non-coding RNA (247 nucleotides) under Olea europaea (common olive). Its description in RNAcentral is "long non-coding RNA (OEUR_LNC014380)". The record is from RNAcentral. Lineage: Eukaryota; Viridiplantae; Streptophyta; Magnoliopsida; Lamiales; Oleaceae.
AACUAAGAACACCAAGAUAUGCUAUAUUAAUCUACCUAACCAAUUCAUACUGCACAGGACUUCAACAAACAACCCCCAAAUUCAGACCACAAUUGCAAAUAAAACCAAGGGAAAUGAUAAAGUCCACCAAAAUACCCCACAGGAAUUCACCUAAGCCAUCUCUCAAUCACUUUGUAGACACUAUGCCAACCCAUUCACAAUGUAAGUGUUAAUGCCUCCAAUAUAAGCCAAAGCAUAGAUGAAUCAC